CUCUGUGACUCCUACGGGAGGCAGCAGUGGGGAAUAUUGCACAAUGGGGGAAACCCUGAUGCAGCCAUGCCGCGUGUGUGAAGAAGGCCUUCGGGUUGUAAAGCACUUUCAGUAGGGAGGAAGGUAGUGUAGUUAACACCUGCAUUAUUUGACGUUACCUACAGAAGAAGCACCGGCUAACUCCGUGCCAGCAGCCGCGGUAAUACGGAGGGUGCGAGCGUUAAUCGGAAUUACUGGGCGUAAAGCGCAUGCAGGCGGCCUGUUAAGUCAGAUGUGAAAGCCCGGGGCUUAACCUCGGAAUUGCAUUUGAAACUGGCAGGCUAGAGUCUUGUAGAGGGGGUAGAAUUUCAGGUGUAGCGGUGAAAAUGCGUAGAGAUCUGAAGGAAUACCAGUGGCGAAGGCGGCCCCCUGGACAAAGACUGACGCUCAGAUGCGAAAGCGUGGGGAGCAAACAGGAUUAGAUACCCUGGUGG
This 473-nucleotide ribosomal RNA is filed under the name uncultured bacterium. Its description in RNAcentral is "bacterial SSU rRNA". It matches the Rfam family "Bacterial small subunit ribosomal RNA", at positions 328 to 793 of the family's 1533-position model. The record is from RNAcentral.